RNAcentral lists this ribosomal RNA (1479 nucleotides) under uncultured bacterium. RNAcentral's name for it is "16S ribosomal RNA". It matches the Rfam family "Bacterial small subunit ribosomal RNA". The record is from RNAcentral.
UGGCUCAGGAUGAACGCUAGCGGCAGGCUUAACACAUGCAAGUCGAGGGGCAGCGGGGAGGAAGCUUGCUUUCUCCGCCGGCGACCGGCGCACGGGUGAGUAACACGUAUGCAACCUGCCCCUGUCAGGGGGACAACCCGCCGAAAGGCGGGCUAAACCCGCGUACAUGCCACCGGGGCAUCCCGGAGGCAGGAAAGGCUUCGGCCGGACAGGGAUGGGCAUGCGGCGCAUUAGGCAGUAGGCGGGGUAACGGCCCACCUAACCGACGAUGCGUAGGGGUUCUGAGAGGAAGGUCCCCCACACUGGUACUGAGACACGGACCAGACUCCUACGGGAGGCAGCAGUGAGGAAUAUUGGUCAAUGGUCGGGAGACUGAACCAGCCAAGCCGCGUGAGGGAUGAAGGUACAGAGUAUCGUAAACCUCUUUUGUCAGGGAACAAAGGCGGGGACGUGUCCCCGGAUGAGUGUACCUGAAGAAAAAGCAUCGGCUAACUCCGUGCAGCAGCCGCGGUAAUACGGAGGAUGCGAGCGUUAUCCGGAUUUAUUGGGUUUAAAGGGUGCGCAGGCGGUCUGUUAAGUCAGCGGUCAAAGCCCGGGGCUCAACCCCGGCCCGCCGUUGAAACUGGCAGUCUCGAGUUGGAGAGAAGUAUGCGGAAUGCGCGGUGCAGCGGUGAAAUGCAUAGAUAUCGCGCAGAACUCCGAUUGCGAAGGCAGCAUGCCGGCUCCACACUGACGCUGAGGCACGAAAGCGUGGGUAUCGAACAGGAUUAGAUACCCUGGUAGUCCACGCAGUAAACGAUGAAUGCUGGCUGUCCGGGGGGACUGACCCCUGGGUGGCGAAGCGAAAGCGAUAAGCAUUCCACCUGGGGAGUACGCCGGCAACGGUGAAACUCAAAGGAAUUGACGGGGGCCCGCACAAGCGGAGGAACAUGUGGUUUAAUUCGAUGAUACGCGAGGAACCUUACCCGGGCUCAAACGGGGAGUGACUCAGGCAGAGACGCCUGUUUCCCACGGGACACUCCCCGAGGUGCUGCAUGGUUGUCGUCAGCUCGUGCCGUGAGGUGUCGGCUUAAGUGCCAUAACGAGCGCAACCCCCGCGUGCAGUUGCUAACAGUCAACGCUGAGGACUCUGCACGGACUGCCGGCGCAAGCCGCGAGGAAGGCGGGGAUGACGUCAAAUCAGCACGGCCCUUACGUCCGGGGCGACACACGUGUUACAAUGGGUGGUACAGCGGGAAGCCAGGCGGCGACGCCGAGCGGAACCCGAAAUCCACUCUCAGUUCGGAUCGGAGUCUGCAACCCGACUCCGUGAAGCUGGAUUCGCUAGUAAUCGCGCAUCAGCCAUGGCGCGGUGAAUACGUUCCCGGGUCUUGUACACACCGCCCGUCAAGCCAUGGGAGCCGAGGGCGCUUGAAGUGCGUCGCCGCGAGGCGCGCCCUAGAGCGAAAUCGGUGACUGGGGCUAAGUCGUAACAAGGUA